Molecule: ribosomal RNA, 378 nt
Filed under: uncultured bacterium
Lineage: Bacteria
Description: bacterial SSU rRNA
Rfam family: Bacterial small subunit ribosomal RNA
Source: RNAcentral
GACGAACGCUGGCGGCGUGCUUAACACAUGCAAGUCGAGCGGUAAGGCCCUUUCGGGGGUACACGAGCGGCGAACGGGUGAGUAACACGUGGGUGACCUGCCCUCAGCUCUGGGAUAAGCCUGGGAAACCGGGUCUAAUACCGGAUAUGACUCCAUGACGCAUGUUGUGGGGUGGAAAGCCUUGUGCGGCUGAGGAUGGGCCCGCGGCCUAUCAGCUUGUUGGUGGGGUGAUGGCCUACCAAGGCGACGACGGGUAGCCGGCCUGAGAGGGCGACCGGCCACACUGGGACUGAGACACGGCCCAGACUCCUACGGGAGGCAGCAGUGGGGAAUCUUGCGCAAUGGGCGAAAGCCUGACGCAGCGACGCCGCGUGAGGA